AAGAAAUCAGCCUAGUAACCAACGAGGAAUCACAGAGGGGAUGGGCAUCUUUGUACAGAAGACCGGACGAGGCCCAGAGGAAGCCGCCGGCUCACACGGCAGCUGGCGCCAGGGCUGGGACGGGGACCCAAGGCUCCUGACCUCGGGUUUUCUUUGUACAACAACCUGCUACUAUAUUUUUUAGAGAAAUAAAUUAUGCUCCGUGCUGGUGGGAAGCCUUUUAAACAAAAAGAAAAAAGGAAACGGCCAAGAUGCAUCUUAAUUAGAAAGCGCUUGGGAAAAAAAAAAUCUUCGCGGGAGGCGGGUACACAGCACCGUGCCACGAACGGUCAGCAGCAUCAGAGUGUGAGAACCCAGCAGGCUAAUUUAGAGCCUCCAGCGUCCGGAUGGAGCGGCCACGGCUCCCCAAACACAUGACUGCCCGGAAGGUUUGCUCGCUGCCCUUACGCCUGACCCGUUCCAUCCAAGCAAUUGCAACAUCACCACUUCCAAGGAAGAUGACAGCUCUUUCGCAAAACAAACUCAAAGGCUGGGUCAGGAAUGUGCACCACAGCCUGCUAAAAAUCAGUGACAACAUGGCCUGACGCUGAUUUUCCCAAGAACUAUGGGAUCCUUGGUGUUUUGGUUUUGUUUUUCAGACAAAAGAAACCGUCCACAAAGUAGAUAGGGUGUUUUCAGCCAGAGAAGUCAACGUGCUCUGUUACCCAAUAGCAGGGGAGGAGGGAAAGGGCCCCGGGAAGGGGACGCGCGCACGCCAGGCAGGGUACUGGGGCAACCUAGGCCUGCCCCCCUCGCCGUCACAGGCCCUGAAUCCUCAGCUGAUGUCCAGUAGAAACUGAUGCCUGGAGAUGGGCUGCAGCAGACUCUGGCCAUGAAGUACAUGUCUUCUCCAGCUUCCAUGAGGACAGUGGAGUAGAAGAUACAGCACCACCAGCCCCGAAACCAUCCUUCUGCCCUGUUUCCUUCUCUGUGGCCACCGUAAGUGGUCACUGGGGGACAGGGCAGCACGGUGGUUUAUGGGUUGGUUUUUGGAGUUUGACAGCCUUGUCAUGAAGUCUCUGCUUGACAACUGUGUGACUAAGCAAGUCCUAAAACUCACCUAGUCUCAGUUUCCUUAUCUGUGAAAUAGGGAUAA
Long non-coding RNA from Herpailurus yagouaroundi (jaguarundi), 1135 nucleotides. RefSeq lists it as uncharacterized. The transcript has 3 exons. NCBI's taxonomy places the organism in Eukaryota, Metazoa, Chordata, Mammalia, Carnivora, Felidae. The record is from RefSeq and is a predicted model, not a curated record.